UCCGUAGGUGAACCUGCGGAAGGAUCAUUACCUAGAGUUGUAGGCUUUGCCUGCUAUCUCUUACCCAUGUCUUUUGAGUACCUUACGUUUCCUCGGUGGGUUCGCCCACCGAUUGGACAAAUUUAAACCCUUUGCAGUUGAAAUCAGCGUCUGAAAAAACUUAAUAGUUACAACUUUCAACAACGGAUCUCUUGGUUCUGGCAUCGAUGAAGAACGCAGCGAAAUGCGAUAAGUAGUGUGAAUUGCAGAAUUCAGUGAAUCAUCGAAUCUUUGAACGCACAUUGCGCCCCUUGGUAUUCCAUGGGGCAUGCCUGUUCGAGCGUCAUUUGUACCUUCAAGCUCUGCUUGGUGUUGGGUGUUUGUCUCCUGUAGACUCGCCUCAAAACAAUUGGCAGCCGGCGUAUUGAUUUCGGAGCGCAGUACAUCUCGCGCUUUGCACUCAUAACGACGACAUCCAAAAGUACAUUUUUACACUCUUGACCUCGGAUCAGGUAGGGAUACCCGCUGAACUUAAGCAUAUCAAUAAGCGGAGGA
Molecule: ribosomal RNA, 534 nt
Filed under: Phoma herbarum
Lineage: Eukaryota; Fungi; Ascomycota; Dothideomycetes; Pleosporales; Didymellaceae
Description: eukaryotic LSU rRNA
Rfam family: 5.8S ribosomal RNA (bases 172-325)
Source: RNAcentral